UACGUAGGGUGCGAGCGUUGUCCGGAAUUACUGGGCGUAAAGGGCUCGUAGGCGGCCAACUAAGUCGGACGUGAAAUCCCCAGGCUCAACCUGGGAACUGCGUCCGAUACUGGAUGGCUUGAAUCCGGGAGAGGGAUGCAGAAUUCCAGGUGUAGCGGUGAAAUGCGUAGAUAUCUGGAGGAAUACCGGCGGCGAAGGCGGCAUCCUGGACCGGCAUUGACGCUGAGGAGCGAAAGCCAGGGGAGCAAACGGG
Molecule: ribosomal RNA, 253 nt
Filed under: uncultured bacterium
Lineage: Bacteria
Description: partial 16S ribosomal RNA
Rfam family: Bacterial small subunit ribosomal RNA
Source: RNAcentral